UUAAUGUAUAUUAAAAUCGGGGUUGAUUUCCUCUAAAAGUCUGAUUAGGAUCAUAUAACUUCAUGGUGGUAAUAUUCUUAUUAUUAUUGACUUGCUAUUCUUGUUUGUUCUUUAAUUCAUUUUCAGGGCGAACUCAUGGUAUUGGUUCAGCCACCCAAGACACCCAAAAAACAAUAGAACAUUCCACAAUUUCGUCGACAAAACUAUCAGAUGUUUGCAGGACUGUGUGAAGAAACAUAACAUCCGGUACUGUGCAUAUGCAUCAGAUUGCCCGUAUAAGCUGAUACCCGAACUCCAAGCGGGACUCUAUUAUGUGUACGCUCGUGAUUGGAUGAACGCUUUCUCACGUGAUGGCGUACUCGUCAUCCGAUUAGAGGAUUGGCAAGCAGAUCCUCUUCGUGUUUACAGGCAACUGAUCAAAUUCCUUGACUUGAGAAAACUCAGCGAGGAAGAAGAGAACAGAAUCAUCCAUAAAACUCGAGAAAACGUUAAUAGAAGAAAGCGUAUACUUUCGCCUCAAACGAAGAAGAUUUUGGACGAUUUCUAUCGGCCUUACAACAAGGAAAUGGCGCUUUUAAUGAAUGAUGACAAAUUCCUUUAUCCUUCAAAUUAACCACCCCCCCCCCCCCCCCUCUGCCAUAUAACAAAAAUACAGGAAACUACAAAAUAAAAUCCCUGCAGAGAACAAACAAAUAUCAAACCGUGAUAAGUAACCUAACACAACCAGGGGGCGUUUCACAAAACUUGUCAUCAGUGACA
This is a long non-coding RNA of Strongylocentrotus purpuratus (purple sea urchin), 759 nucleotides long. RefSeq lists it as uncharacterized. NCBI's taxonomy places the organism in Eukaryota, Metazoa, Echinodermata, Echinoidea, Camarodonta, Strongylocentrotidae. The record is from RefSeq and is a predicted model, not a curated record. The transcript has 3 exons.